RNAcentral lists this ribosomal RNA (324 nucleotides) under uncultured eukaryote. Its description in RNAcentral is "partial 18S ribosomal RNA". It matches the Rfam family "Eukaryotic small subunit ribosomal RNA", at positions 1470 to 1796 of the family's 1831-position model. The record is from RNAcentral.
CCCUUAGAUGUUCUGGGCCGCACGCGCGCUACACUGAUGCAUUCAACGAGUUUCUUCCUGGUCCGAGAGGAAUGGGUAACCUUUUGAAAGUGCAUCGUGAUAGGGAUAGACUAUUGCAAUUAUUGGUCUUCAACGAGGAAUUCCUAGUAGACGUAGUUCAUCAGACUGCAUCGAUUACGUCCCUGCCCUUUGUACACACCGCCCGUCGAUCCUACCGAUUGAAUGCUCAGGUGAGCCAUUCGGACUUUCAUCAUGCUGGUUUCCAGUUUUGAUGAAGGAAAGUCUUGCGAACCUUAUCAUUUAGAGGAAGGAGAAGUCGUAACA